ACGGGAGGCAGCAGUGAGGAAUAUUGGUCAAUGGGCGAGAGCCUGAACCAGCCAAGUAGCGUGCAGGAUGACGGCCCUCCGGGUUGUAAACUGCUUUUAGUUGGGAAUAAAAAAGGCCACGUGUGGCCUAUUGUAUGUACCAUCAGAAAAAGGACCGGCUAAUUCCGUGCCAGCAGCCGCGGUAAUACGGAAGGUCCGGGCGUUAUCCGGAUUUAUUGGGUUUAAAGGGAGCGUAGGCGGGCGUUUAAGUCAGUGGUCAAAGCGUGUGGCUCAACCAUACCACGCCAUUGAUACUGGAUGCCUUGAGUGCACAUAAGGAUGGUGGAAUUCAUGGUGUAGCGGUGAAAUGCUUAGAUAUCAUGAAGAACUCCGAUUGCGAAGGCAGCUGUCCGGGGUGUAACUGACGCUAAUGCUCGAAAGUGCGGGUAUCAAACAGGAUUAGAUACCCUGGUA
Molecule: ribosomal RNA, 453 nt
Filed under: uncultured Alloprevotella sp.
Lineage: Bacteria; Pseudomonadati; Bacteroidota; Bacteroidia; Bacteroidales; Prevotellaceae
Description: partial 16S ribosomal RNA
Rfam family: Bacterial small subunit ribosomal RNA
Source: RNAcentral